Molecule: long non-coding RNA, 2561 nt
Filed under: Heterocephalus glaber (naked mole-rat)
Lineage: Eukaryota; Metazoa; Chordata; Mammalia; Rodentia; Bathyergidae
Description: lncRNA (ENSHGLG00000039818.1)
Source: RNAcentral
AGAGGAAAACAAUCAAAUGGUAUUGGGUGACCACAAAAGAGCAGGAUGACUGCAGAGCGAGUACCAGACCUCUGGAAGAGAGAAAGAGAGGACAACGUGGGAGGCCACCCAACGGGAGGCUAGAGGGGCCUUUGCUGGAGAGGUGAGGAAGGGCAGAAGCCUUACGGGCUGGACAGGAGCGUCACGUGCCUCGACCGGCAGACCAGUGAGAAGGGGCGGAGCCGGAAGAGCAAGGAAAGGGCAUCGGCAAAGCAGGUGGUUGGAUCAGCUGACAGAACAGUGGGCUGGCCCAGAGGAGGCCAGAAGGUGGACAGCUGCACCCGCGUGCUAAGGAGGGCUCUGUGGUAGGUCUUGCAGUUGCGAGCUGACAGGAUGCUGUGCCUGCUCCCUUUCUUCCUUAGAACUGAGCUUCAGUUUUGUAGAAUACAGCAACAUGCCCAGCAAUAAGGCUACAUGUCCAGGGCUCCUUGGCAGGUAGAAUGGGUUGUGACCUCCUCCUGGUUACAUUUUCCCAGCAGAAGCCAGUGGAUGAAGUUUCCAGGAAGAUGUGGGGACAGGAGGAGCAUGCUCAGCUGUCCCCUUCUUCCGGCCUAGAGCACGGAGAAGACUCCAGAGAGGAGCAGGCAGUCAUUGUUCCCAGUGAAGAAAGUGGGUUCCACCGCAAGCCUAGAUCCUGACAUCCCUGAAUGCAGCUCCAGCCCCGGGGCCAGGCACCUCCCCUGCUCCUCACCCAGGAAAACUAGAACCACUGAUUGGUUUCGGCUCUGCUCCAGGCUACUUCUCCCAGCCAAACAUAGCCCCUAUCCAUAGGCGAGGUGACCUGGCGCUUGAGUCUCUCAGAGUCACUUAUCUGCUUGACCUAGAGCUCCACGCAGCAACUGUCCCUUGACAGAGCCAGGCCCUCCUCCGGGGGCCUGAAAAGCACUUUGUAGAAAUGGAGUUUCUGUUUGUCUGGGGGUUUUGCCUUGCUGAAAGCAAGCUGACCUCCGUGCACCAUGUAUGACAUGAUUAGCAGGAAGCGGCCCAGCUGGUUUUAUUGGUUUUCCUUGGGCUUUGGUCUUAGAAGGUUUCUUGCUGAGUUGAUUUCACCCUGAUAACUCCCUUUACACUCCACUUCCUAAUCCAAAAGGGCCCACAUUGGGGGUAGAGAAACAGAGAGCAAUCCUUUCCCAGCCCUCUCCUGGGGCUCCUUAGCUCUUGACUGCACUGCUGGGCUGGCUUAGCAAAAGCAAUUCGAUCUCCAGAGUUUCCUGGCCACCUUCCCUCUCUGUUGGCCUGUCGGAGAGCUCCAGCCGGUGAGUCUGUGGCCACAGGGCGUCUGAUCUCGAGGAUAGUGCCGCGCCCUUUGGUCUUGGUCUGCUGUGUGCUGUGCUCAUGAUGCUUACGUUCUGCUCCGGCCCUGAGAGCUGACAUGGCUUUGGAAAGUGAGAUUCCAGCCCACACCCAGGUGAAACUCUCCUAGCCUUUGACCUACACAGAUCUCCUCAGCCAGCGCAGGGCUUUGUACACUGGAUUCCAAGGGCCACCAUGCCAAACCUUGAUUGAAAAGAAAUGUUUGUUGCAGUGUAGCCACUCCCAGCUGAGCGGAAUGGAGAUGUAAACAGGAAGUCAGCAAAAGCAGGGCUGCUCUGCUUAGGGGGAACAGGGUGGGGAUUAUGAGAGCAGAGCGAUGCUGUUGAAAACACCUCUGGAUCAGCUGUACCCUCUCCCUAGGGGAUCCCAAGGCAACUCCUCCAAGGGAACUUGGGAUUCAGGGAACAGUUCGAAAACCACUCCACAGUUGUGUCGGCUUCAUUGGCUUUGCAAUCUGGCCUGGGACUGGCGGAGCUCUGCUCUGGGUGGGUCUGGGUGGGUCGCAGAGGUGUGGCCCCUUGUCCCCUUCCUCUGGGGCACUGUUCCCUGUUCCAUUUCCAGCUUUGCCUCUUCUGGAUCCUACACCUGUGCCUGCAGGAGCACGUGACCAGUGUCAUCCCUAGAGCUGUCCGCACCUUGGGGGUGCAGGGCACUGUUGUAGUCGUGUCCAGAGGUCAGCUUGACUUGCUCAGAUUCUUAAGGUGUCUGUUUCAUUUAAAUCAGGUCAUGUGCUUGCAUAUGUGUACUUUUUAAGUGCAGGAAUCAACCAAGAGAAUGGUGCCACAUAAAAAAGAAACACGUGCAGGGCUCCGUGGCUGCCUGUGUAGAUGCACUGUUAUGUCUGUGUAUGUGGGAAUCGUGCUUAGGGACGAGGCCGGCCUGAGGGUGUGAUGAUUUCUGGUGUCCGGGCAGCCAGGCUCCUCUGUCCUGAGGCAGUUGAUCAGAUGCAAAGACUCAGCCCGGCCCUUCAGAAAGAGGAAAUGAGAAAUGUUACAGCUGAAAGGGCCAGAGCUGAGCUGACCAUGAGUGCACACAUGAAGUAUGCUGUCAUAUCCACUGCCCAGAUUGAAAGAGACACAGGUCUGUGUGGACCAUGUGGCUUUAAACACCUUGGCCUGUUUGCUUUGACUAUGACAGCACUGCCCACCGAGGGCCACUUUCCUGUCUAAAUAGGAGAGCUAGAGACAAGGCUAAUGCGUUCAUAGGGC